GCCUACGGGAGGCAGCAGUGGGGGAUAUUGCACAAUGGGGGGAACCCUGAUGCAGCGACGCCGCGUGGGCGAUGGAGCGCCUCGGCGCGUAAAGCCCUAUCAGCAGGGAAGAAGAUGACGGUACCUGACUAAGAAGCCCCGGCUAAAUACGUGCCAGCAGCCGCGGUAAUACGUAUGGGGCAAGCGUUAUCCGGAUUUACUGGGUGUAAAGGGAGCGUAGACGGCAUAGCAAGUCUGAUGUGAAAGAUCGGGGCUCAACCCCGGGCCUGCAUUGGAAACUUUUAAGCUGGAGUACAGGAGAGGUA
RNAcentral lists this ribosomal RNA (305 nucleotides) under uncultured bacterium. RNAcentral describes it as "bacterial SSU rRNA". It matches the Rfam family "Bacterial small subunit ribosomal RNA", at positions 337 to 659 of the family's 1533-position model. The record is from RNAcentral.